Long non-coding RNA from Brassica rapa (field mustard), 3342 nucleotides. RefSeq lists it as uncharacterized. Lineage: Eukaryota; Viridiplantae; Streptophyta; Magnoliopsida; Brassicales; Brassicaceae. The record is from RefSeq and is a predicted model, not a curated record.
CUCCAAAGAUUGACACAUAACCUUUUUAAAUCAUUGGGUGGGGGGGGGGGGGGGGGGGGGGUUUGACAAUAUUCUUCAUUAGGAUUUUUUAUUCAUUUGAAUCUCGCAAUUGAUAAAGAGACCAAAGUUUCAGUUCUUUAUUUUUUUGUUUUGAACAGAUCCGGGAGGAACAAACAACGACGCUACGCCUCAAGAUCAUCUCACUUCUUCGACGACUCGAGAAUGCGUUGCUGCCCAUACUCACCAUAUCCAUACUAGCGGUUCAUACUCAUCUCCACCAUACUAUCACCGUAUUUAUUCAAAUAGAAAAAAUAUAACAUAUUCCAAUAUGUUUGGAGAGUUACUAAAAUGAUAUGGCUAACUUGUAAAAUUCAUCAACCGUAAAUAACGUCGGUCUUGCCACCGUGGCUGUAGAAUGCUAAAAUAACAAAACGAUGGCGAGAAAUUUGUAAGUUUUACUGGCAAAGAGCUUGAAGAUAUUAAGAAAACAAACAUGUAUGUUAGAAUUGAACUAUAAUUUUUGUAAAUCGUACUAAAAAUAAAAAAUGCUAUCAAAUUUUUCUUCCAACAAUUUCAUAUAUCUGAUGUGAAUUACUGAGUUUCUUUAUAUGUUUGUCAAUGAUCUUACUUAGGAGUUCGAAGUCGAGCCUUAAAAAUAACUCUUUAAAUAGCUCUUAUUCUCUCCGCAUAUAAAUGUAUGGUGUUUUAGUUUUUUUUCUUGUAUGCAAAAGAUUAACGUUCUACAUUUAAUUAAUGCAUUUUGCUUUAAAAAUGAAAUCAAAAUCAAAUUGUAAAGUGGUAAGUGGUUGAAUUGUUUCGGUAAUAAAAAUAAAUAAAUUAGGUAAACCUAAAAUCAAAAAGUAAUAGACAAAAAUAAAUAUUUAAUUUUUUAAUAGUGUGAAUAACUUUUAAAAUCAAACAUUUGUAUCUGUAGGGAGCACUUCAUUUUUCUCAUUAUAAGCAGGUCCGGCCUGAAAAUUUCUACAAAAACAAAGGUUGGAAGCCUACAAAUAAAAAUGGUGGCCAAAAAGUGUCGAACCUGUCACCUCAGGGAGAAUUGUUAGUUAGUUUGACCAUCUUGCUGAUACAAUUAAGAAUUUGGCCGAAACAUUGAUAUAUUAUCAACGACCAGAAGCCGAGGCUUAUAAUGCUUCUGUCCAGGGCAUAUACUGUAUUAUCCAAAAAAUGUUUAUGUUAUUUCAAUUUAAAAGUCUUUAGUCAGAAAAAAAUUCUUACUUUUUCUUUUCUUUUAUCUAUUAAUUUAGAGUCCUAUUUAAAAUUACCUAUGGAAUAUGUUGUGACUAAAUAUAAAAACAUGUUUCAUAUGCAAAUUUAUAUGGUAACCAAUAUACUUAAAUUAAACCAACCUAUAAUUAUACUAUCGACAUUACCAAUAUACUUGCAUGUGUAUCUCAUCGUCAUUUCCCAGCGAAGAACCCUAUUUCCAAGCCAGCUUGAUUCGAUUCCACUAAAUUUCUGAUUUGAAGAAACCUAAUCCGGAAAAGAUAUCGAUAAUUGGUGUUACCCCAAUUUCCUCUCAUCAUACAAUAGUUCUCAGUCGAAUGCUUUGUGCGCAUAUUCCCGGUUUGAGCAUUACUGUUCUGGGUUUUGGUCCAGUGACAUUGAUGAAUUCAGCUACAACCAUUGGUAGUUCUCCAAUUUCUUAUUAGUAGAUUUUCCAAAUGUACAACAUUGGCAUUCACCUCUGAUUGGAUCACUGCCUUUAAGCUUUUUCCAAAUGAGUGUUUAAGUACUUAUUAUGGUUGUCGUUGAUUUGCUAGAAUAUAUAUUUUGCUUGGUUUUAUCUAUAAAGUUUUGAUCUUGGAUUUUAUCGUUAUAUGUUGUGGACUCGGAAAAGACACAAAUAUGAGUAUUUGUAAUGAUAUUUGAUUCUAAUUCAAGAUAGGCCCGUCUAACCAUCUUGAUGAAAUCAAAUAUUCUGAAUGCAUGGUGAGCUAGCUCGGUGACAAUGAACAUGAUUUUAUAAUCUCGAAAUUGAAAACUAAUUUUGUUUGAACUCUUAUAUACAGUUUUGGAGUAGGUUGUUGCCCAACGCUAGACAGGAGCUCCUCAAGGAUUGACAAGCCGUUCUGUUUGAGCAAGCUCACAAAAACAUUUGCAGUUCCAGAUACAACGGCCUACUGCUUGAAAGCUUCUCGCAGAUUGUUUCAUAUGGGAAGUCCUUCCAACAAAAAUGAUCCACAGGAAGUCUUGCAUGCAACAGAUCAGCAGCCUCAAAAGUUUAAAAUAACUGUAAAUCAGUUGAUUGUACCAUAUGUAUAGGUAUUUGAAACUCCGUGCUCGAGACAGGGAACGUGAGUUUAGGAUGCAAAUUGUUCUUCCUUCAGGGUUCAUGCAAGCUUCGUUGAAGCGAGAAAAAAUUUUAAUUCCACUUCUUCUUUCUCUAUUAAACUACUCUACAGCUGAUGUGUAAACCGCUGGAAGAAUAUAGUUCCCAGCGAGGGUCGAAGUGAUCUGAUUAUAUAUGUGGUGGUGAUAGUUAAAUAGAUCUCGUGUUAAGAGUUUUGCUGUCAUCGGCUUGAUUUGAAUUUGUGCUAUAUCUCUAAAUAUAAAUAUAUCAUAGGCUUAAAUCUGAGCUUUAAAACAUGGGGCUUAAUAGCCGUAGCAGCACAACUUUUGUUUCUCUAGCAUUCCCUGUUUUUUCUUAUGCUCUUUGAAUAUCAACAAAAUUUACAGCUAUAAUACGUGAGUUUAUCUUCGAAAGUCUAUAAAACUGAUUCAAAAUAUUAUUGAAUUAUAUAAAAUAAUAUUUUAAUAAUAAAACAAUUUAAAAUACUAAAUAAAUAUGUAAAAAAAUUUUAAUACAUAUAUAUUUAUUAACUAAUACAUAUCACAUAUAACUAUUUUCUGAUAAAAGAGUGACACGAAAAUUGUAUAAAAAAUAACAAAAUGACACCAAAGCAAAAUAGCAAAUUCCAAAACAAACCCAAAUUCAAAAAUAACUGAGUUAUUACUAUAUUUCUUGAAUUGAAAAUCAAAACUCGCAACCGAAUCGAAACCAAACCAAUAGUCAAAUACAAUCUGAAUGUGAACCAAAAUUUAUAAAAUAUCAUCAAAUCAUAAAAAUUUAGUUUAAAAACAUAAAUUAUAUAUAAAUAUAAACAAUCAUGCGCAAUCGCGCGGGUCAAAAUCUAGUAAUAUAUUAAAUUAGAAUACUCUUACAUUUCCUCCCAGAAUCUACCAACUACAAUCUAACGAAAAUAAGUUAUUAAGAUGGGCAUCACUAAAAUUUUCAGUUGUCAAGAAAAUAAAAAAUCUUCUAAAUAUAUGCUUUUGAAGCGUGUUUAAAGAAACACUACCUUUUUUAAAAUACCGAAAUCA